RNAcentral lists this ribosomal RNA (497 nucleotides) under uncultured bacterium. RNAcentral describes it as "partial 16S ribosomal RNA". It matches the Rfam family "Bacterial small subunit ribosomal RNA", at positions 29 to 507 of the family's 1533-position model. The record is from RNAcentral.
UAUGCACGCUGGCGGCGUGCCUAAUACAUGCAAGUCGAGCGAACGGACGAGAAGCUUGCUUCUCUGAUGUUAGCGGCGGACGGGUGAGUAACACGUGGAUAACCUACCUAUAAGACUGGGAUAACUUCGGGAAACCGGAGCUAAUACCGGAUAAUAUUUUGAACCGCAUGGUUCAAAAGUGAAAGACGGUCUUGCUGUCACUUAUAGAUGGAUCCGCGCUGCAUUAGCUAGUUGGUAAGGUAACGGCUUACCAAGGCAACGAUGCAUAGCCGACCUGAGAGGGUGAUCGGCCACACUGGAACUGAGACACGGUCCAGACUCCUACGGGAGGCAGCAGUAGGGAAUCUUCCGCAAUGGGCGAAAGCCUGACGGAGCAACGCCGCGUGAGUGAUGAAGGUCUUCGGAUCGUAAAACUCUGUUAUUAGGGAAGAACAUAUGUGUAAGUAACUGUGCACAUCUUGACGGUACCUAAUCAGAAAGCCACGGCUAACUACGUG